AGUGAACGCUGGCGGUAGGCCUAACACAUGCAAGUCGAACGGCAGCACAGUAAGAGCUUGCUCUUACGGGUGGCGAGUGGCGGACGGGUGAGGAAUACAUCGGAAUCUACUUUUUCGUGGGGGAUAACGUAGGGAAACUUACGCUAAUACCGCAUACGACCUACGGGUGAAAGCAGGGGAUCUUCGGACCUUGCGCGAUUGAAUGAGCCGAUGUCGGAUUAGCUAGUUGGCGGGGUAAAGGCCCCCAAGGCGACGAUCCGUAGCUGGUCUGAGAGGAUGAUCAGCCACACUGGAACUGAGACACGGUCCAGACUCCUACGGGAGGCAGCAGUGGGGAAUAUUGGACAAUGGGCGCAAGCCUGAUCCAGCCAUACCGCGUGGGUGAAGAAGGCCUUCGGGUUGUAAAGCCCUUUUGUUGGGAAAGAAAAGCAGCAGGUUAAUACCCCGCUGUUCUGACGGUACCCAAAGAAUAAGCACCGGCUAACUUCGU
Molecule: ribosomal RNA, 490 nt
Filed under: uncultured bacterium
Lineage: Bacteria
Description: partial 16S ribosomal RNA
Rfam family: Bacterial small subunit ribosomal RNA
Source: RNAcentral